This 331-nucleotide ribosomal RNA is filed under the name uncultured Chloroflexota bacterium. RNAcentral describes it as "bacterial SSU rRNA". It matches the Rfam family "Bacterial small subunit ribosomal RNA", at positions 1035 to 1382 of the family's 1533-position model. Lineage: Bacteria; Bacillati; Chloroflexota. The record is from RNAcentral.
CAGGUGCUGCAUGGCUGUCGUCAGCUCGUGCCGUGAGGUGUAGUGGUUAAGUCCCACAACGAGCGCAACCCUCGUCGCUAGUUAAUUUCCCUAGCGAGACCGCCUCGCAAACGAGGAGGAAGGCGGGGAUGGCGUCAAGUCAGCAUGGCCUUUAUACCCUGGGCGACACACACGCUACAAUGGGUGGUACAGUAGGUAGCGAAGGAGCGAUCCGGAGCAAAUCCUUAAAACCAUCCUCAGUACGGAUUGCAGGCUGAAACCCGCCUGCAUGAAGCCGGAGUUGCUAGUAACCGCAUAUCAGCAUGGUGCGGUGAAUACGUUCUCGGGCCUU